GAUCUCGUGGCUCUCCGGGCGGGGAGGCGCGCCCGCGCGACGGGUGCGCGGUCCGGUUCGACUCCGGGCGGGAUCGC
RNAcentral lists this transfer RNA (77 nucleotides) under Longispora fulva. RNAcentral describes it as "tRNA-Arg". Lineage: Bacteria; Bacillati; Actinomycetota; Actinomycetes; Micromonosporales; Micromonosporaceae. The record is from RNAcentral.